GUUUUUUUUGUUUUUUUGUUUGUUUGUUUGUUUGUUUGUUUGUUUGCUUGUUUAAAGAUCACCAGUACCUGUUUGAGUUUUUUGUUUGUUUGUUUGUUUGUUUGUUUGUUUGUUUGUUUGUUUAAAGAUCACCUGUACCUGUUUGAGUUUUUGUUGUUUGUUUGUUUGUUUAAAGAUCACCUGUACCUGUUUGAGUUUUUGUUGUUUGUUUGUUUGUUUAAAGAUCACCUGUACCUGUUUGAGUUUUUGUUGUUUGUUUGUUUGUUUAAAGAUCACCUGUACCUGUUUGAGUGUUUGUUUGUUUUUUUGUUUGUUUGUUUGUUUGUUUGUUUGCUUGUUUAAAGAUCACCAGUACCUGUUUGAGUUUUUUGUUUGUUUGAUUGUUUGUUUGUUUAAAGAUCACCUGUACCUGUUUGAGUUUUUGUUGUUUGUUUGUUUGUUUAAAGAUCACCUGUACCUGUUUGAGUGUUUGUUUGUUUGUUUGUUUGUUUGUUUGUUUGUUUGUUUAAAGAUCACUUGUACUUGUUUGAGUUUUUUGUUUGUUUGUUUGUUUGUUUGUUUGUUUGUUUGUUUAAAGAUCACCAGUACCUGUUUGAGUUUUUUGUUUGUUUGAUUGUUUGUUUGUUUAAAGAUCACCUGUACCUGUUUGAGUUUUUGUUGUUUGUUUGUUUGUUUAAAGAUCACCUGUACCUGUUUGAGUUUUUUUGUUUGUUUGUUUGUUUGUUUGUUUGUUUGUUUGUUUGUUUAAAGAUCACCAGUACCCGUUUGAGUUUUUGUUUGUUUGUUUAUUUGUUUGUUUAAAGAUCACCAAUACCCGU
Long non-coding RNA from Ictalurus punctatus (channel catfish), 818 nucleotides. The record is from Ensembl. Lineage: Eukaryota; Metazoa; Chordata; Actinopteri; Siluriformes; Ictaluridae.